CUUUUUUUAAUCUGAUGUUUGGCUCAAGCAUAGUCAAAAUGUGAAAAACUGUGGAUAGGCUAGCACAAUUUCUAGUUUUGGUGAUUUUAUUCCUUUGCUUAUUUAUCUUGAAUAUAUAAAUUUACCCAUUACAAUCAAAACAGAAGAGAUUUUAAUAACACAAAAGGCAAGACUGCUCCAGAGGCAAAUGUUGGUGACAGCUCUGCAAGCUGGAGGCAGAGCCUAAAGAAACUGAGAGGUGAAAGGAGAUGACACAGGUGCAAGAAGGGCCAGAGUAAUAAGGUUUUCAAGUUAAAAAGUGGGGAGUUGGUAGAUAUUGUUAUUUAUGGAAGAAGAAAUGAAGGCAUAACUAUUUUGAGGUUACAAAGGUGAUGCAGAGAGAAGCCAAGAUUAUUGAUAAUAUUACAAAAUAAGGGUGUGUGGCGGAAGCGGGGUGAAGUAACGAACUAAGUCCUCAUUUGUCAUAGCAGGAAAUUAAAGGAUAAUGCCAAAAAUAGACAAAAAAAGAAAGUAUCCUAAAACAGCAACUAGUCGCUAUUUCUCGUAUUUCUGUGGACUUGCUGGGCAGUUCCUCUGUGGUUUCGCUGGGGCUCACCUGUGGGCUGCAUUCCCCAGAGAGGUGGCUGGACUGGACAGACCAAGGUGGGCUUCCUUGCACAUCUGGCUAUAAUGCUCGCUGUCCACUGGGGUACUUCAGGUCUCCUCCAUGUGGCCUCUCACUCUUCUGUAGCUAGCCUGGUUUCCUUAAAUGACAGCCACAGGACAGCAUUCCAAAAGUUCAAAAGCAGAAGCUACAAGGCCCAUUAAGGCCUAGCCUGAGAUUUUGCAAACUAUCAUUUCUGCCUUACGUACUGGACACAGGAAGUCCCAGGGCCAGCCCCGAUUCAAGGGGUCGGGGAACAGAUUCUGUCUCUUGAUGGAGGGAGCUGCAAAGUCAGAUUGCAAAGGAGUGAACAUAACAGAAUAGGAGAAAUCUGUGGACCCAUUUGCAAUCUACUACCGUCUGCCCUCUGCCUACAAUUAUUUACAUUUCUCUCUCAUGCAGAGGAAACAAAAACAGAAAGGUCCAAUUGACUGUCUCUGGGAAGUAGAACAGGGGGAAGAAAGAGUGGGGACAAGAGGUUUCAUUCUAAGCUCUUUCAAUAUUAUUUUUUUAAAUACAUCAUGUUUUAUAAAAAUUAACAUUCCUACUGUUAUAUAAGGUUCAGUGCAUAUAAAUUUCUUGCUCUGAACAGAAAAACUGGAAAGGUAGUUUCCCCGUGCUCAUUUAAUAAAUGCUGAACCAUAUUUACUGAAUAUGGAUUUUAAGAACUGUAAAAUCAUUAAACUACUUAGAACCAACAUUCCUCAGUUUUGCCCUGCCGACCUCAUGGGACUAAUGAUUCAAUUUAAAAAUGUGAUCAUAUACGUGAAAAAUGCUUCUUAAACUGUAAAUGUUUUAUAACUCACUAUACAUUAUCCAUUGCUACUGUUUCUAUGUCGUGCCCAGCACUGUAUUAGGCUGUGUGGAGGCCACAAGAGGACCAGAAAAUAAGGUUCCUGCCAGCAAGGAAUUAAUAGUCUAGGUGAGGAGACAAGAUGACUUCCACAAACCAAUUAUAAUACAUUACGCUAAACUUUAAGGGCCCAUGCAGGCAGGGACAAUGAUUCUGUUCAUUGCAGCCUCAUCAGGACCCCACACAUAAUAAGACCUUGAUAAAUACAUGUUAAUGGAGAGAUGGAUCAAUUACCUGGCAGUCCGUAAUUCAGAGCCUGGACACAGUUCCGAUUGUGAGUGCUGGAGGCAUCCGAGAAGUGGCGAUCAGAGGAGCCGAUUGUACUCAGGUAAGGCACUGAGGCUGGGCUUUCUUUCUUUCUUUCUUUCUUUCUUUUUUUUUUUUUGAGGAAGACUAGCUCUGAGCUAACGUCUGCCAAUCCUCCUCUUUUUUGGUGAGGAAGACUGGCCCUGAGCUAACAUCCGUGCCCAUCUUCCUCUACUUUAUAUGUGGGACACCUACCACAACAGCAUGGCUUGCCAAGCUGUGCCAUGUCCACACCCAGGAUUUGAACCAGCGAACCUUGGGCCACUGAAAUGGAAUGUGCGCACUUAACGGCUGUGCCACCGGGCUGGCCCCUGGGCUUUAUUUCUAAUCAGGACACAACAAAGACAUAGUACCACAAGAGGGAAGGUGAAUAUUUCAGCUCCGGAGAGCCCAGAAAAGGAAAGACACAUGGAGGUGGGAAGGACAUCAAACCAGCUUGAGCAGAAGGGGAGAAGUGGGAGGAGGGCUCUAUGGUCUCCCCCUGUGGCAGCUGGACAGACAGAAGGACAAGGGAGAGAAGACAGGAUGGAGUGGUGAGAAAUGGGAAGCACUCUGGGCACCUGAGAAGGAGUGAGGGAACAGUCCGACAACCCAGCAGGCCUCAGGGGAGCCCCAGUGGCAAGUGCUGCUGCCCAUCCAUAUAGAAGAGCCUCACCUUCUCCUUGUACUUUUAUUCAGCACCCAGUCCAUAGUAGAAUUAGGCAGGGAAGCAAAGGUGAAUUGGACAUCGUCCUCCUCCCCAGGACAUUAGAGCCUUUAACAGUGGGAGAGACCCCAGUUACGUCAAUAACUCAGGGCCUUGGAGCAUCCCAGAAUGGUGGAAAGCCAGGCUCUGAGCUCAGGCACGCCUGCACUCCCUUCCCUGGUCCAGCACUCAGAGCUCGAGAUCCUUAGGCAAGUUAACCUCCUUAAGCCUCGGUUUUGUCACCUGAAACCAGUCUCUGUGUCACAGGUUGUGAGGAUGAAAUGAGGUCCCCCACAUAAAGCUCUCAGAGGGUGCUUAGCUCGCCACCAGUAGCCUUAUUAGCCUUAUUGGUAUUAUUAGGGAGGCCGCAGCUGUCAGACCAGGGAGGCUGGGGGAAGGUGUUGGCUUUCCAUCUGGACUUGAAAAUGAGGAGAAUUUAGAUAUGCAGAGAUGGGCAAGCCAGGGCAUCCCAGCUGGGGGCCAGAGAAAGGCCCAACACGGGAAAACAGUGUGGAGGGAGCCGCUAAGCUUUCCUUUUGACUGGCCGAGGAGGGCGCGAGAGCUCCAUCUGGAAGGGCAGAUGGGGGUAACUGGGGGGGCCAGAGCAAGAAACCAAACCUUGCUCUGUGGGGAGCUGUGAAGGAGUUGCACAGGGAAGUGACCGGGUCAGAGGUGGGAGAGGGGCCACAGGCUGGUGAGGAUGGACGAGAUGUACAGAGGGUGGGAGGGUGGUUGCCUUUCAAACACAUGACUCACCGUGUUCUGGGAAAGACCUAGGAUUGAGAUAUAAUUCUUGGGACUUUAUCUCUUUCACAACUGGCUUCAAAGGGAAGAAGUUUGGGUGACAAGAGAGGAGCUAAAGGGCCACGUUAAUGAUUGGAGAGGCGACAUGGUUCAGGAAAACAUCAAUACUCCUCGUCUAAUCAUUUACCGGGAAAGCGUUGGCAAGGGAGGUGCGUGGGAAGUACAACUCUGCAACCCUGAGGACAGAGCUCAAGACCAGACGGGGUCUGGCCCUGGGCACAGUGAAAACUGGAUUUCUCUCUAGAUCUCUGUCAAACCUCUUUAGGGUCCCAUUGCCCUAUUAACACUACCUCUUCCCUCAGUUGCGCAGAUCCCAUGGGCACAUCCAAACACGCCAUGUCUCCAUGUGUGGGUAUGGUGUAGACAUUUGAAUCCCCACAAUGCUGCUCCUCAGCUGUGGGACUUUGGGCAGAUGACUUGACGUGGUCACUUGAGAGCCCUGCAGUAAAUUGAGACGUCAGUGAAUCCUUCAGCAGCGAACUCACUGCCUCAGAGCCUUGUUCUCUUCCUCCAGCACGGAGGGAAAUCUACUGAAAUCCUACAGGCCCUGGACCGAGCAUCCUUGUCCCUCCCUGACCUCACGGACUGUUGAGGGGAUGUUCGCAGAGCUCCUGGGCUUCCCUUUCAAUUGGAUUCUAAAUACACAGACGCUAUUUGCUCAUAAUAACGAAGAUAUGUCACAAUCUGUGAGAACGUCUGAACUUAUUAUAAACUUAGAGUCAGGCGCCAGGGUAAAUGUUCCAGAGACUUGCAGGUGUUCUCAGAUCAAAUUGGUUUCUUUCUGAAGAAAUUAUGUGAAGCGUUGACACUGGUAAAGCAAUUCCAAAAUGGAAUCUAAUUCAGUGCAUCUUUCUGCUGGUUUCAAAGGAAAAUUGAUUUAUAUAAUAUUAGUUCCCUUUUGAAUCUGACACUGAUCUAAUAAGCGUGUUAUUAUUGUCAUUUGGUAUAUCUCUGCUGAAUAUUAAGCUGUCUAUAUCGUAUAUAUGUGAAUAUAAAAUGGACCAUCUCAUGCCUUCUCAUUGGAAAUACAAGAACUAACGCAGACUCACGAACUCAAGCAGAAAGGGAUUGUAUUGGCAGCGCAUCAGAAAGCUUGAAGAAUCGACAGAAAUACCUAUAAGAAAACCAACAGCAUGAAAAAAUGAAAAACAUAAAGCUACAAGAAAACUUGAUUUGAGGAAACAGCCCAAAGAAGGUCACACGGAUGCCAGCACGUGCCUGCCUGCCUCUGGAGCACAGCACUGGUCCCCACGUCUUCUUCAUCAUCUCUUCUACCAAGAAAAAAAGAAGCACCCUGUGAGUUAAGGUUGCCAGCCCCACCUGGCAGAGGAAGGAGAAGAAAGAGACCUGUGGUGGCAGAAACAGGAUUGGAACCGAGGCAGGGCUGCGAGGACACCUUCUCUGGCCAAUAGCAGAAAACCUGGAAUAAGAGGAGUCGCAUUCACAGACAAUGAGCUUUUUAAGGCAAGUGCAGUGGGAGGACCAGGUUCCCCAGGGUUAUGCCUGCACUGGGGCAUGUCCCGGAUGACAGCACUUAGCCAGGUGGAAGAGGGCCAGCAUUCAACCCGGCGGAGCAAACAUCUACAAGGUUUGUCAAGAUACAAUGCAGGUACUGCUCAAAGACCACUGGGAGCAAUAGUGACCCAACUUGACUCCAGACACCGCAAUGACCUCCACUACAUUGUCAAAUGGGAAUAUUGAGAGGACGCAUCUCUAUCUUAUCCCGUGAACUUCAACUUUUGACUGUUAAUAAUGAUGUUUGCUGAAGGUUUUUCAGAUUAACGAAUAUCUCUUCUAUUCCUAGUUUGCUUUAGUUGCAUUCCAGAAGUUUUAAAACAUAACCUUUUCAUCAUAUUCAGUUCUAUGUAUUUUUAAAUUUCCAUUAUAUAUUUUCUUUGAUCUAUGAAUUAUUUAAAGUAUGUUUUUCAUUUCCAAAUGUAAGGCUUUUUUUAAUUAAUGUUUUUUGUCAUUGAUUUCUAACAAUUACUUUUGAUAUUUAUUCAUAGAAAAUUCCAUAAUUGUUUAAAAAGAGGCAAUAAUCUCCAACUGCUGAGUGCCACGUUCUCUAUAUGCCAUUUUAUCAAGUUUAUUAAUGUGUUCACGUCUUUUACAUCCUCACUGACUUUUAGCUGCUUAAUCUCUGAAUUGCCAAGAGAAAUGUUAAAAAUCUCCCACUGGCACAGUGGAUCUGUCUAUCUCCCCUCUUAGUGCUGCAAUUGUUUACUUUAUGUAUUUUGAGGAGAUAUAUAUAAAUAAUGUUACAAGUCUAGAAUUGUUAUAUUUGUGUGAAAUUAAGCAUCUUACCAUUGUGUGGUGACCUCUUUAUCACUCAUAAAGCUGUUUGCCUUAAAGUCUGUUUUUUUCUGACAUUAACAUAUUUUUCCAGCUCUCUUUUGACUGCUAUUUGCCUGUUGUGUCUUUUUCCAUCCUUUAACUUUCAAUAUUUCUACAUCCUUAUGUUUGAAAUGUGUCUCGUGUAAAUAGCAUAUGCUAGAUUAUAUUUCUUUACCCAGGCUCUCAGUUUUUGUCUUUUAACUGGGAAGUUUAGUCCUGUCAUAGUUACAGUCAUUACUAAUAUAUUUAAAUUUAUUUCUGCCAUCCUACUAUAUGUUUUAUAUGUGUCUCCCUUUUUCUGUUCUUCCACAGCCCUUUCUUGUAAAGUAGGUUUUUUUGUUUUUAUUUCAUCAUUUUCUCCCUCCAUUGGCUUCUAUUUUUUUGGAAGUUAUAUUCUCCAUAUCGUUCCUUUUUGUAAUUGCCCUAAAAUUUUUAAGAUGCAUUUUUAAUAAUUCUAAAAUUAAUAUCUUUAACCUCC
Long non-coding RNA from Equus caballus (horse), 6103 nucleotides. NCBI's taxonomy places the organism in Eukaryota, Metazoa, Chordata, Mammalia, Perissodactyla, Equidae. The record is from Ensembl.